Arabidopsis thaliana (thale cress) is the source of this 490-nucleotide non-coding RNA. The record is from RefSeq. NCBI's taxonomy places the organism in Eukaryota, Viridiplantae, Streptophyta, Magnoliopsida, Brassicales, Brassicaceae.
CGUCGGAAUCAGCCUUUGCGCAUUCUUCUGAGCUCGGAUUUAGGGUUUAGCAUUCUGGUUCUAAUGGCGUUUAAUGAUAUUGAUUAUCGGAUUUGUUUGUGCUCUUUUGUUAGAUUUUGAUGUGUUUAAUGGCAUAAUCACGAUUUAGCUAAGGGCUCCGGGCCAACUGCGUUUUCCGGUGGGAAAUGUAAUCCGUCUCCGAUGCUUAUUUGGGCCAGCUUUGGAGGUCGAGCCAGUCUGCAAACAGGCCCACUUCCCAAACUAUCAAUGAUGUAACCAUUACAGAUCUGGAACCUCGUUGAAGAUAAUUGAAACAGUCAGAAGCCAUGUUUAGGUGUUUUAUCUGUUUGUAGACUGGCUCGAAGUUAUAAACAAACUCUAUCAAUGUCUACACUCCAAUUACGACAUGUUCUUCUGGUUUCGGCGUGAUUCAUAUGUACGCAUUCUUACAUGACUCAACCCAAGAGACACUGAUUAGGCUAUAAAUUGA